Ordospora colligata OC4 is the source of this 71-nucleotide transfer RNA. It matches the Rfam family "tRNA". From Rfam's summary of the family: Transfer RNA (tRNA) molecules are approximately 80 nucleotides in length. Their secondary structure includes four short double-helical elements and three loops (D, anti-codon, and T loops). Further hydrogen bonds mediate the characteristic L-shaped molecular structure. tRNAs have two regions of fundamental functional importance: the anti-codon, which is responsible for specific mRNA codon recognition, and the 3' end, to which the tRNAs corresponding amino acid is attached (by aminoacyl-tRNA synthetases). tRNAs cope with the degeneracy of the genetic code in two manners: having more than one tRNA (with a specific anti-codon) for a particular amino acid; and 'wobble' base-pairing, i.e. permitting non-standard base-pairing at the 3rd anti-codon position. Lineage: Eukaryota; Fungi; Microsporidia; Ordosporidae. The record is from Rfam.
GCAUCAUUGGUUUAAUGGUAUAAUAGCCGGUUGCCAUCUGGCUGAUCCGGGUUCGAUUCCCGGAUGAUGCA